This 466-nucleotide ribosomal RNA is filed under the name uncultured bacterium. Its description in RNAcentral is "bacterial SSU rRNA". It matches the Rfam family "Bacterial small subunit ribosomal RNA", at positions 339 to 797 of the family's 1533-position model. The record is from RNAcentral.
CUACGGGAGGCAGCAGUGAGGAAUUUUGCGCAAUAGGGGAAACCCUGACGCAGCAACGCCGCGUGAGUGAAGAAGGCCUUCGGGUCGUAAAGCUCUGUCAAGUGGGAAAAAAUCCAGCUGGUGAAUAGCCGGCUGGCCUGAUGGUACCACUAGAGGAAGCACCGGCUAACUCCGUGCCAGCAGCCGCGGUAAUACGGAGGGUGCAAGCGUUGUUCGGAAUUACUGGGCGUAAAGCGCGUGUAGGCGGUUUGGUAAGUCAGAUGUGAAAGCCCUGAGCUUAACUCAGGAAGUGCAUUUGAAACUGCCUUACUCGAGUAUGGGAGAGGAGAGUGGAAUUCCCAGUGUAGAGGUGAAAUUCGUAGAUAUUGGGAGGAACACCCGUGGCGAAGGCGACUCUCUGGACCAAUACUGACGCUGAGACGCGAAAGCGUGGGGAGCAAACAGGAUUAGAUACCCCGGUAGUCCC